UACGGAYUUAAAAUCCGUCGAUUUUUAAAAUCGUGAGGGUUCAAGUCCCUCUAUCCCCC
Molecule: transfer RNA, 59 nt
Filed under: Orobanche grossheimii
Lineage: Eukaryota; Viridiplantae; Streptophyta; Magnoliopsida; Lamiales; Orobanchaceae
Description: partial tRNA-Leu
Source: RNAcentral